RNAcentral lists this long non-coding RNA (1809 nucleotides) under Lonchura striata (white-rumped munia). RNAcentral describes it as "domestica (Bengalese finch) lncRNA (ENSLSDG00000005590.1)". Lineage: Eukaryota; Metazoa; Chordata; Aves; Passeriformes; Estrildidae. The record is from RNAcentral.
GGAAAUGUCUUUAAUUUGCGUUAAUGAAUGGGUUUAUAUGGCGCAGCGAGGAUUCCAUCAGCGGGGAAUGGUCCUGGAAUCCCAAAUCCUGAAAUCCCAAAUCCCGAAAUCCCGAAUCCCGAAAUCCCGAAUCCCUAAAUCCCAAAUCCUGCCUCAUUCCAGACCUCCAGAGUUGUAGGAAACAUCUUUAAUUGGCGUUAAUUAAUGAGUUUAUAUGGCGGAGCGAGGAUUCCAUCGGCCGGGAAUGGUCCCGGAACCCCAAAAUCCCAAAUCCUGACGUCCCAAAUCCUGACGUCCCAAAUCCUGACGUCCUGGCUCAUCCUGGUGCCAGCUGGGUGGGGACAGUCCUGGGCGGGGCUGUGUCCCCUGUGUGUCCCCUCCACCUUUGGGGACACCCUGGGGACAACACCGGGACCCCAAAACUCUUGGGGACAACGUCAGGACCUCUUCUGGGGACAACACUGGGACCCCAAAAUCUUCAGAGACAACCUCAGGACCCCAAAACUUUUGGGGAGAAUGAUGGAAGCCCACAAAUUCCAGUGACAAUGCCAAGACCCCAAAACUUCUUUGGGCAACACCAGGACCCAAAACCUUUGGGGACAACGCCAGGACCCCAAAACUUUUGGGGACAAUCUGGGGACAACAUUGGGACCUCUUCUGGGGACAACACCAGGACCCCAAAACCUUUGGUGACAACACCAGGACCCCAAAACUUCUGGGGACAACACUGGGACCUCUUCUGGGGACAACCUCAAGACCCCAAAAGUUUUGAGGACAAUGCCGGGACUCCACAAGUUCCGGGGACAAUGCUAGGACCCCAAAACCUUUUGGGACACCAUCAGGACCCCAAAACCUUUUAGGACACCAUCAGGACCCUAAAACCUUUGGCACCAAACCCAAAACUCUCCAGGCACAACCCGCGAGGGCGCGGCCCCAUUCGGGCGGGACCAGGAGCCGCCAGCGUUGAGGAGAAUGCUGAUCCCGUUCUGGGGGGACGUCUGGCCCAUUGCCCUGCCCAUCCCAUUGUCCGGCCCAUCCCAUUGUCCAGUCUGUCCCGCUGUCCAUCCCAUCCUGUCCCAUUGUCCAGCCCAUCCCAUUGUCCGGUCCAUCCCAUUGUCCAGUCUGUCCCGCUGUCCAUCCUAUCCUGUCCCAUUGCCCUGCCCAUCCCAUUGUCCGGUCCAUCCCAUUGUCCAGUCUGUCCCACUGUCCAUCCCAUCCUGUCCCAUUGCCCUGCCCAUCCCAUUGUCCGGUCUGUCCCAUUCUCCAGCCUGUCUGGUUGUCCAGCCCGUCCCGUUGUCCGGUCCAUCCCAUCGUCCGGCCCAUCCCGUUGUCUGGCCCGUCCCAUUGCCCAUCCUGUUCCAUUUUCUGGUCUGUCCAGUUGUCCAGCCCAUCCUGUUGUCCGGCCCAUCCAUUGUCCGGCCCGCUGCAUUUUCUGGCCCAUCCUGCUCUCCGUGCGUCCGUGCGUCCGUGCGUGCGUCCGUGCGUCCGUGCCUACUGCGCGGCGCCGUAGGGCCAGUUGAAGGUGCUGCCGGACAGCAGCAUGUCGCGGAUCAGGGUCUCGAUGGGCGUCUUGCCCACCAGGCGCAUGAAGAAGAGCUGCGAGAUGAGGGCGGCGGGCACGGCGCGCAGCGCGGGCAGCCGCAGCAGCAGCCGCCCGAAGCGCUGCGGCUGCGCCGGGAACUGCGCGCGCUCGUACUCGGUCAGCGCCACCUGCGCCUUCUCCUGCAGCGUCUCCACGUGCGCCGGGUCCGACAGCCCGCAGGCGUCUGCAAGGCAACGGGGCCGCGUUGCAGGGCACGGAGCAGGGCA